RNAcentral lists this ribosomal RNA (815 nucleotides) under uncultured bacterium. Its description in RNAcentral is "bacterial SSU rRNA". It matches the Rfam family "Bacterial small subunit ribosomal RNA", at positions 1 to 808 of the family's 1533-position model. The record is from RNAcentral.
UUAGAGUUUGAUCCUGGCUCAGGAUGAACGCUAGCGGCAGGCUUAACACAUGCAAGUCGAGGGGCAGCAUGUCCAGCAAUGGAUGAUGGCGACCGGCGGAAGGGUGCGUAACGCGUGAGCAACAUGCCCUAUACAGGGAGAUACACCAGGGAAACUUGGUCUAAUAUCCCAUAGCAUUCAUUGAAGGCAUCUUUAAUGAAUUAAAGCUUCGGUGGUAUAGGAUUGGCUCGCGUGACAUUAGCCAGAUGGUGAGGUAACGGCUCACCAUAGCAAUGAUGUCUAGGGGUUUUGAGAGGAAGGCCCCCCACACUGGGAUUGAGAUACGGCCCAGACUCCUACGGGAGGCAGCAGUCGAGAAUAGUCUACAAUGGACGAAAGUCUGAUAGUGCGACGCCGCGUGAACGAAGACUCCCUAACAGGGUGUAAAGUUCUUUUAUAUGUGAGCAAUGGUUUGUAUAUUAAUAGUAUGCAGACAGAGAUAUUAGCAUAUGAAUAAGCAACGGCUAACUCCGUGCCAGCAGCCGCGGUAACACGGGGGUUGCAAGCGUUGUCCGGAAUUACUAGGCGUAAAGGGCAGGUAGGCGGAUUAGUAAGUUUGAUGUCAAAUCCAUCGGCUCACCCGAUGAUCGGCAUCAGAUACUGCUGAUCUGGAAUACGGUUGAGGAAGACAGAAUUCCUGGUGUAGCGGUGGAAUGCGCAGAGAUCAGGAGGAAUACCAAAUGCGAAGGCAGUCUUCUAGGCCGUUAUUGACGCUAAACUGCGAAGGUGUGGGGAUCAAACAGGAUUAGAUACCCUGGUAGUCCACACAGUAAACG